CUGCUUAAUUGUAGUCUGCCGAUGUAUUUUUCAAACCCAUUUACCUAAUACUGAUCUAUACUCCAAAAACGAAAGUUUAUGGUUUUAAUCUAUAACAACUUUCAGCAGUGGAUGUCUAGGCUCGCACAUCGAUGAAGAACGCUGCGAACUGCGAUACGUAAUGCGAAUUGCAGAAUUCAGUGAGUCAUCGAAAUUUUGAACGCACAUUGCACUUUCGGGUUAUGCCUGGAAGUAUGCCUGUAUCAUUGUCCGUACAUCAAACUUGCCUUUCUUUUUCUGUGUAGUCAGGGAGAGAGAUGGCAGAAUGUGAGGUGUCUCGCUGGCUCCCUUUUCGGAGGAGAAGACGCGAGUCCCUUUAAAUGUACGUUCGCUCUUUCUUGUGUCUAAGAUGAAGUGUGAUUCUCGAAUCGCGGUGAUCUGUUUGGAUCGCUUUGCGCAUUUGGGCGACUUCGGUUAGGACAUUAAAGGAAGCAACCUCUAUUGGCGGUAUGUUAGGCUUCGGCCCGACGUUGCAGCUGACAGAGUGUGGUUUUCUGUUCUUUCCUUGAGGUGUACCUGAAUUGUGUGAGGCAAUGGUCUGGGCAAAUGGUUGCUGUGUAGUAGGGUUUUGCUGCUCUUGGACGCCCUGUUUUCGGAUAGGGUAAA
This 645-nucleotide unclassified non-coding RNA is filed under the name Pythium aphanidermatum. RNAcentral describes it as "partial contains ITS1, 5.8S rRNA and ITS2". The stretch from base 97 to 251 matches the Rfam family "5.8S ribosomal RNA". Lineage: Eukaryota; Oomycota; Peronosporomycetes; Pythiales; Pythiaceae. The record is from RNAcentral.